UACGUAGGGUGCGAGCGUUGUCCGGAAUUAUUGGGCGUAAAGAGCCCGUAGGCGGUGUGUCGCGUCGGCCGUGAAAACCUGGGGCUUAACUCUGGGCGUGCGGUCGAUACGGGCAUCACUAGAGUUCGGCAGGGGAGACUGGAAUUCCUGGUGUAGCGGUGAAAUGCGCAGAUAUCAGGAGGAACACCGGUGGCGAAGGCGGGUCUCUGGGCCGAUACUGACGCUGAGGAGCGAAAGCAUGGGUAGCGAACAGG
Molecule: ribosomal RNA, 254 nt
Filed under: uncultured bacterium
Lineage: Bacteria
Description: partial 16S ribosomal RNA
Rfam family: Bacterial small subunit ribosomal RNA
Source: RNAcentral